Molecule: transfer RNA, 67 nt
Filed under: Ascarosepion mestus
Lineage: Eukaryota; Metazoa; Mollusca; Cephalopoda; Sepiida; Sepiidae
Description: tRNA-Thr
Rfam family: tRNA
About the family: Transfer RNA (tRNA) molecules are approximately 80 nucleotides in length. Their secondary structure includes four short double-helical elements and three loops (D, anti-codon, and T loops).
Source: RNAcentral
GUUAUAGUAGUUUAAAUUAAAACAUUGGUCUUGUAAACCAAAGAUAGAUCUAUAAAUCUCUAUAACU